Molecule: ribosomal RNA, 468 nt
Filed under: uncultured bacterium
Lineage: Bacteria
Description: partial 16S ribosomal RNA
Rfam family: Bacterial small subunit ribosomal RNA
Source: RNAcentral
GACGAACGCUGGCGGCGUGCUUAACACAUGCCAGUCGAACGGAAAGGCCCUGCUUUUGUGGGGUGCUCGAGUGGCGAACGGGUGAGUAACACGUGAGUAACCUGCCCUUGACUUUGGGAUAACUUCAGGAAACUGGGGCUAAUACCGGAUAGGAGCUCCUGCUGCAUGGUGGGGGUUGGAAAGUUUCGGCGGUUGGGGAUGGACUCGCGGCUUAUCAGCUUGUUGGUGGGGUAGUGGCUUACCAAGGCUUUGACGGGUAGCCGGCCUGAGAGGGUGACCGGCCACAUUGGGGCUGAGGUACGGCCCAGACUCCUACGGGAGGCAGCAGUGGGGAAUAUUGCACAAUGGGCGGAAGCCUGAUGCAGCAACGCCGCGUGCGGGAUGACGGCCUUCGGGUUGUAAACCGCUUUCGCCUGUGACGAAGCGUGAGUGACGGUAAUGGGUAAAGAAGCACCGGCUAACUACGUG